Long non-coding RNA from Oreochromis aureus, 618 nucleotides. RefSeq lists it as uncharacterized. The record is from RefSeq and is a predicted model, not a curated record. The transcript is spliced from 3 exons. Lineage: Eukaryota; Metazoa; Chordata; Actinopteri; Cichliformes; Cichlidae.
UAGCACAUCAGUGGAAAGGACAUGCUACGCCACGUUGCUAAUAAUGUACCGUCUGACGUUUUGCGUCAUGAACAUCAGCUAGUUUUUAUUUCCUUUCCUCAAUGUUGUGGCCCCGCGCGUUAACGAAGCGGAAAGUCUGACUGCAAUUCAUGUUAGCAACCGUUAGCAUUAGCAAGACAGCUGGUGUGGAAAGUACCUGGCGGAAAUACCGUACCUGUCACUUCAGUUUACAGCAAGGAUUGUCCCUUUUCUCCUCCAAGAAUGAGAGUCUACGUUCGAAUGCGGGCUCUCCUUGUGAAUCUUUCGGACUUUCAGUUUUGAUUUAUUAAGAAGUCAGUAUCAGGUUCUGCUGAUAUAAAGCAGGUACUCGUGUUACCCCUGGAGGAUUAAUUUUUUUUAAUUGUUUUGUUUCUAUUGAAUUAUGAAUCCUUAGACACCCCCAAAAGGGAUGUCCAAGAUGGGGGGAGGGGUUUGAGAGCACAAAUUCCUUGGUCUUGGUGUGUGUGUGUGUGUGUGUGUGUGUGUACGUACGUACAGGGAGUGCAGAAUUAUUUGGCAAAUGAGUAUUUUGUCCACAUCAUCCUCUUCCUGCAUGUUGUCUUACUCCAAGCUGUAUAG